GACGGAGGGGGCUAGCGUUGGUCGGAAUUACUGGGCGUAAAGGGCGCGUAGGUGGUUAUCUACGUUAGGUGUUAAAGACCCGGGCUUAACCUGGGGGGUGCGCUUAAUACUGGAUAACUUGAGUGUGGAAGAGGAAAGUGGAAUUCCUAGUGUAGAGGUAAAAUUCGUAGAUAUUAGGAGGAACACCAGUGGCGAAGGCGACUUUCUGGUCCAUAACUUACACUGAGGAUCGAAAGCUUUGGGAGCAAACAGG
Molecule: ribosomal RNA, 253 nt
Filed under: uncultured bacterium
Lineage: Bacteria
Description: partial 16S ribosomal RNA
Rfam family: Bacterial small subunit ribosomal RNA
Source: RNAcentral